Molecule: ribosomal RNA, 253 nt
Filed under: uncultured bacterium
Lineage: Bacteria
Description: partial 16S ribosomal RNA
Rfam family: Archaeal small subunit ribosomal RNA
Source: RNAcentral
UACCAGCACCCCGAGUGGUCGGGACGAUUAUUGGGCCUAAAGCAUCCGUAGCCGGUUCUACAAGUCUUCCGUUAAAUCCACCUGCUUAACAGAUGGGCUGCGGAGGAUACUAUAGAGCUAGGAGGCGGGAGAGGCAAGCGGUACUUAGUGGGUAGGGGUAAAAUCCGUUGACCCAUUGAAGACCACCAGUGGCGAAGGCGGCUUGCCAGAACGCACUCGACGGUGAGGGAUGAAAGCUGGGGGAGCAAACCGG